Molecule: ribosomal RNA, 662 nt
Filed under: uncultured bacterium
Lineage: Bacteria
Description: bacterial SSU rRNA
Rfam family: Bacterial small subunit ribosomal RNA
Source: RNAcentral
GGGUGCGGAACACGUACGCAACUUACCCUUAAGUGGGGGAUAGCCCGGGGAAACCCGGAUUAAUACCUCGUAACACUGUGAAGUGGCAUCACUUUAUAGUUAUAGCUCCGGCGCUUAAGGAUGGGCGUGCGUCCCAUUAGGUAGUUGGUUGAGGUAACGGCUCACCAAGCCUGCGAUGGGUAACUGGUGUGAGAGCACGACCAGUCACACGGGCACUGAGACACGGGCCCGACUCCUACGGGAGGCAGCAGUAAGGAAUAUUGGUCAAUGGACGCAAGUCUGAACCAGCCAUGCCGCGUGGAGGAUGAAGGCCCUCUGGGUUGUAAACUUCUUUUAUGGGGGACGAAACCCCGGAUUUUUAUCCGGCCUGACGGUACCCCAGGAAUAAGCACCGGCUAACUCCGUGCCAGCAGCCGCGGUAAUACGGAGGGUGCAAGCGUUAUCCGGAUUCACUGGGUUUAAAGGGUGCGUAGGCGGGUUUGUAAGUCAGUGGUGAAAUCCCGAAGCUUAACUUCGGAACUGCCGUUGAUACUACAGGUCUUGAAUACUCGGGAGGUGAGCGGAAUAUGUCAUGUAGCGGUGAAAUGCUUAGAUAUGACAUAGAACACCGAUUGCGAAGGCAGCUCACUACAGAGUCAUUGACGCUGAGGCACGAAAGCGUG